Molecule: ribosomal RNA, 428 nt
Filed under: uncultured bacterium
Lineage: Bacteria
Description: partial 16S ribosomal RNA
Rfam family: Bacterial small subunit ribosomal RNA
Source: RNAcentral
GUGGGGAAUAUUGGGCAAUGGGCGCAAGCCUGACCCAGCAACGCCGCGUGAGGGAAGAAGGCUUUCGGGUUGUAAACCUCUGUCCUUGGUGACGAAGAAAGUGACGGUAGCCAAGGAGGAAGCCCCGGCUAACUACGUGCCAGCAGCCGCGGUAAUACGUAGGGGGCGAGCGUUGUCCGGAAUUACUGGGCGUAAAGGGUGCGUAGGUGGCCUUUUAAGUUGGAUGUGAAAUACCCGGGCUUAACUUGGGGGGUGCAUCUAAUACUGGGAGGCUAGAGUGCAGGAGAGGGAAGCGGAAUUCCUAGUGUAGCGGUGAAAUGCGUAGAUAUUAGGAGGAACACCAGUGGCGAAGGCGGCUUUCUGGACUGUAACUGACACUGAGGCACGAAAGCGUGGGGAGCAAACAGGAUUAGAUACCCGGGUAGUCC